RNAcentral lists this long non-coding RNA (241 nucleotides) under Elaeis guineensis (African oil palm). Its description in RNAcentral is "long non-coding RNA (EGUI_LNC063857)". The record is from RNAcentral. Lineage: Eukaryota; Viridiplantae; Streptophyta; Magnoliopsida; Arecales; Arecaceae.
UUUUUUUUUUGUCUCAUUCGAUGUCGAUGUUGUCUGAAGGUUCCUGGUCGUCGCCACAUUGGCUUGCUUUUCUUGUCAUCUUUCUUUUUCGGCCUUAAGAGCUUUGUAAUGCAUACUUAGUUAAUGAAAUGAAAAAAAAAAUUUCAUUACCUCUUCUACUCAUGUGUUGAGUUGUCGUUUGCCGAACUUCUUUCGAUUUUUGCCUUGCUCGAUAUCGAUGUCAUUCGAAGGUACCCAAUCG